Oryctolagus cuniculus (rabbit) is the source of this 12202-nucleotide RNA transcript. RefSeq lists it as uncharacterized. NCBI's taxonomy places the organism in Eukaryota, Metazoa, Chordata, Mammalia, Lagomorpha, Leporidae. The record is from RefSeq and is a predicted model, not a curated record.
UUAGCCCUAUUUCCAGAAGCAAAAGUCUCAAGGAUGAAUCCUGCAACCUUUGAUCAAUACAGUAAUUAUCCUUCCUGCUUAAAAGCCAAGAAAUACAUUCACCAACAUGAUAAGUGAUUUAAAAAAAAAUCAUCAGUGUCUAUACUGGAUUCCCAGGCCAGGAUCUUGGUUAUCAUCUUCACUGAUGGCAAUAGUCUUUCUACUAGCUCACACACCAAUGAUCCUCCAAAGUCUAAUGACAAACUCGCCUACUAUUCUUUAAGAAAAGAGAAUGAAUUAGACAGGAAGCAGUGUUCACUUUGCAGAAUCCAGCAACAUACCUACGUCUGCACUCAUCUUCACUGGCCCACUUUCUGUUCUGUCCUAGGUCUGCCCUUUGUUCCCAUGCUUCGGUUCCUGGCCUUCUUCCUUGUGAUCAUUCAUUUCAUUUGGUGUCUCAGCAGUUCCCCCAUUUCUAUUGGCUUAUUACUAUUAUCACUAGUGUAUCCACUUAAAAAUAAUCCUUGGCUGUGGCCCCUAUAUCAUCCUCCAGGUGCUACUCCGUUUGUCUCCUGCUCUUUAUAGCAACUCAUUGAAAGUGUUGUUUCAAGCAUGAUCUCACAUCCUCUCACUAACCCACAUGACUUGCUUCCCAUCGGCUAUGGUUUGACUAUGAGUUGACCCCUGAACUCAUGCAGACAUUUAAACCCCAAAGUCAUGAGUUAAUGGUAAUAUGAAGGUAGAAACAAUCCAAUUAUGAUGUUUGGGAGGUGGAUCUAAUGAGAAAUCUUUAGGUCAUUGGGGUAUGCAGUUGGAAUGAAGUUCUCACAAGAUGAUUGUUAUAAAAGCCUGGGUUUGAUCCCAACCUCUCUCUAACUCCUAAUUAUCUAUGUGACCUCUACACAUGCCCUGCUGUAGCCAUCUGGAGCCUUUACUAGAUGCCCAACCAAUGGAGCUGCCUGAUCUUGGAUUUGAACCUCCAAAACAAUGAACUAGAUAGACCUCUUUAUAAAGUUAAGUUGCCUCUGGUACUUUGUCAUAGUAAUGAAAAGCUGACAAAUACACCAGUGUCUUCCAGUUGCUCAUGUAAGCAUUACCUUUGUGUUGUUAGAGUUUAUGAUCAGGAACAAGUGUGUAGCCUUGUAGUUAAGAUGCCUACAUAACACAUCAGAGUGCUUGAGUUCAAUUCCUGGCUCUGACUCCCAACAACAACUUCCUAGUAAUGCAGACCCUGGGAGGUAGCAGUGAUGGUCAAGUAGUUGGGCCUCUAUCACUCACUCAAGAGACCUGGAUUGAGUUUCUGGCUCCUAGCCCUGGCCAGAGCCCUGAACCUACCAUUGCUGGCAUUUGAGGAGUAAGCCAGUAGAUAGGAAUGCCCUCUGAUUCUCAGCUGAAAACCAACCAACCAACCAACGAAACAAUUGAACGAAAACCCCUGAUGAUCACUAGUCUACUUUUGUUGUUGUUGUUCUACUUGACCUCCCACAGCAUUUAGUACUACUAACCACUUUCUUUUCUCUUGAAAUGCUUUUCUAUUUGGACUUGUAUGAUACCACAUUCUGCUGAUUUUCUUCCUCCCACAAAGCCUUCUAUGUUCUUAAGUACUUCAAGUUCUGGAGUGUCUGCAAUCCUGUACUGGGCCCUGUAUCUGUUCUUCAUUUGCGUGGGCUGUCCCAGGGGAUGGUGAAAUCCCAAGGCUUUAAAUACUAAGGAUCAGCAAUGGCUUUCGAAUCUGUAUCUUCAGCUCUAACCCGCACCAGAGCCUCCACUGUACAUUCAGCACCUGAAAUCGUGUCAGGCACAUAGGAUGGAAGAAUGAGUGAUGAUUAAAUAACCUUCAGACCCUCAAACAGAUCAUCUUGAGAACUCAAAGUAUGUAACCCAAAGUGCUUCUUCUAAUUUGGCCAAAUGUUUGUGCAUUUGGGAGUGCACCUGAUACCUGCUAGCAUCUUCAAAGAUUUACUGUCAAAAACUCAUGAAUUCUUGGCAUUCCUUAGAAGAAAAAAGCUCAGUGUAAGCUUAUGUAAAACUUGACAACUGAUGGGUCCAACCCACUGUUUCUUCUGUAUCCAGUGUUUUAUAACACAAUGAAGCACUUAGAAUUGGAGAGAUUCAUAGGCCUUGGGGCAAUAGACAGUGGAGCACUGGGGAUCAAAUAUUCAAAAUCUCAGAAAGAGUUUUUUUCACAGAAUGGAAAAGUGUGUGUUUCUGUGGUUAUGUGUGUAUGUAUGUGAGCCUGUGCAUGUACUUGUGUGUACCUGUACCUAGGUGUGUGCAUGUGUGUGAGUGUGUCUCUGUGUGUAGGUAUAUAAGUGUGUAUACAUGCAUGCUUCAGGGGACAGGUGCUGGCACAGAGUUGGGGCUGGGGAAGCACUGGUGCCACACCAGCAGGAAGGGCAGGGAAGGUCAACUUCCUUGUAGGAUGAAACCUGCCCACUGUCAUUUCUGCCAGGAAGGGCACAGAUUGGCUCAGAUACACAAUCAGUCCCAGGAAAUGCAAGGUAACUAUUGAUACCUCAUGUGUGUUUUAGCCCAAGGCAUUCUCAGGGAGAGUUCUGCAGAGGUUCCUACCAGGCCUCAGGCUAAUUUGAAUUCUGGCUAAUAAUGAUCUGGAGGAAGGUGUUGCCAUUCCACUAAUGACUCUGAGUCACACCCACACUGAGGGCUUAAAUCAUGAGCAUGGACUGAGAAAGAAUGCACAUUGUAUGAACUUUAUAUCACCACUGUAACCCAUUGCCAAAGUUUAGUGGUUUAAAACACUAUGGAUUUAUGACCUCACCGUUCUGUAGGUCCGAAGUCUGACAAGGGUCUCACGUGGCUAAGUCAGGUGCUGGCUGGGCUGUGUUCCUUUGUGGGGGCUCCUGCAGAGAAUCCCUUUCCAGCUCUUACAGAUCUCUGUUGGCCCUUGCACUUGGCCUGCUACAGCUCACAACCAGCAAGCAGACAUGAAGCCCUGCUUACCCUGCUGUGUCUUUCCAGUUCUCUGAAGCUGGGAAAGGAUUUUCCCCUUUGAAGGACCAUUGUCAAGACAUUGGGUACACCUGUGUAAAACCUGGCCUUGUCCCCAAAUCAAGGUCCUUGACCUCAGUUACACCUGCAAAGUCUCCUCUGCCAUGUAAGGUGACAUAUUCGCAGGUUCUGGGGGUCAGGAUGUGGAUGUCUUUGCAGGGUGGCCACAUUACUGUGCCAAUGAUUCAUGUAGAGGUUACAUACUCGGGCUCAGUACAACUCCAUCCCUGGAGUGGAAAUGAGUCCAAAAGGGAAAAUGGCUGAUCUGAGUUGCUUGAUUCAGCAGGCCAGGCGCACGUAAGCCCUGGGGAUAUGCUGGGAGCCAAACAAGAGACACAGUUCAACUGUGAGCAGGAAGCCAACUGAAUAGGUGCCCUCUUGGGCCUGGCCCAGGGAACCCAUUUAGGAGAAAAGUCAGGGCCUUAGAAGUCCGUGGCUAUUAACUCUAAUGCUCACACUUAGUUGACAAUCAAAAGUGAGACAAACAUGUCUUAAGUAAUAAUUAGUUUUUUGGACAGGGUGUCUCUGAAGGAGACUUCUGGUAAUGAAUGCACCUGUUAAUGGUAGGAGGAACUUAAAAUAUAAUGUUAAGAGUCUAAUGAGAAGCAAUCAGCUAAAAUAAAGUUGAGUUUCCAUCAGAAAUUUAAAAAUGAAACUACUGAGACUGGGACUGUCUGGGAAGCAGAAUUAUGGCCCCCAGAGGUGGUCAAGUACUAGUGCCUAGAACCUGGGGGUACAUCACUUUGUAUUUUGGAAAUAUGUGCAAUAGAAUAUUAUGCCAUAUACAUGGCAAAUGGGACUUUGUCAGUGUGAUCCAGUCUGGGACUUUGAGAUGCUGAGAGUGUCCUGGCUGAUCUUUGUAAAAGGAAGAGGGAAACAGAAGAGAUGAGAAUCAGAGAGAUGGCCGUGUCAGAAAGACUUGGUUUGAAUAUAGAGGAAGGGACGAGAGGAAAGAACCAGAACUGGGGAAGGCCAGGGGCUCUGGAAGUUGGGGAGGGCAAGAAACAGGUUCUUCCCUGGCAUCUUGAGAACGAACGCAGCCCUGCCCUCACCUGGAUUUUCACCCUAGGACGCCUAUUUUGGACUGUGACCUAUGGACUGCACAGUAUCUGUAUUGCUUGGAGAAACCAGAUGUGUGGUCAUCGGUUACAGUAACAAUAGAAACUGAUAAGAGAAAAGGUGGGACUUUAUGGGUCUGCUUCCUGCCAUGUGGCCCCAGGUUGAAUGGAGACCUUCAAAGUCUGACUGAACUAGUGAAUGAAUAGGUAAAUAAAUGCAAAAACUAUGGGGCCCACCCCCAGGACACUUAAAAUGGUGCCACUAAAUAUAAAUGAUGCCAUUUAACUCGAUUUUUCUCUUUUAUGAACUUCUUUGAUUAGGGCAUAGAAUGCCUUCAGAACACACACACACACACACACACACACUGUCUCUCGGUAGUACACCCACAGACACACACAUGCACACAACAGCCUUGGACUUCUAAAGGACAGGGGCAACUCCAUCCCCAUCCCCGCAGCACACACACACCCCUCUGGUGUUCUUAAAUGAAGCCUGGGUGGGAGAAAAGGAAAUGCUCUCUGGUUUGGGGUCCAGCACUGGUGGGAAGGAUGACCCCUAGCAACUCCAGUGUUACAACCGGGCUGUGAAAUGUUCUGAAUCAUCUGACCUUGGACUCCUGGUUCAGGCUAAUUAAGCCUCUUCCACUGCACAGUGUCCUGGUUUGCAACUGUGGUUGUGCAACCAUUUAAAUUGUGCACCUUUGCUCCAGGGAGCUGAUUUGCUGUUUCUCUUUUGUUUCCUUGGAAGGACUCAGGCACAAGUGGGCUGUCUCCUUUUAGAACAGUGAGAAAGUAAUGGACUUGGUGCUCUCAUGGGGUGUCUGGACUUGUGGCUGUGGAAGGAACUGUUUUUGGAGAGGCUGCCUGCGUCCGUGGACCUGUGCUUGCUGCAUGCAGUCCAAACCAGGGGCGGUUUGCCCCACCCAGUGGGUCUCAGUCUUCAGUGGAUGUUGGAAUCACCUGAGGAUCUCAUGCUGGGCUGACACAAGUCGGAGACAGCAAACGCAUUAAAGGCUCAUCGUUAUCAGCUUGCUGAAGAUUCGGUUGAUGGAAUGGUGGUAAACCUCAGACGGUCCUCGGAGACAUAACCCUAUUUGUGCUCUCUCCUCAUCCUGUCCCUUCCCUUCAUGUUCUGUCCUUCAUAAAUGCUGCUUGUCUGUUAUGUGACGCGAAUGUGUAGCCUGGCUGCUUUGCCAGUCUGGCCCAUUCCCUGGGAACGUAAAAAUGUAAAAAUACCAACUGGUGAAAAUAUUGUUACUGGUGUUCAAAUGUGGAGGGGUUUGGGACACUGCAGUAAUGGAUCUAGGGUAUUUUAAAAUGUCUUUUUAAUAAUUAUAUGCAUUUCAACAUUCUUGUAAGUUUCUUGUAAUAUGAUGAUCAUUCUAACAGUCCUCUUUCAGAUGUGGAAAUUGCAAGAAGCAAAAUAUACACCUGUUUAAUAUAUUAAGUAUGCUGUAAGUAUAGAUUUCAAUGCCACACCAUAGAUUUUUAAUUUUUUUAUUUAUCUAUUUGAGAAGCAGAGAGAGGCAGAGUCAGAGAAAUUUAGAGACAGAGGUGGGGGCAUGAGUGUGGGAAAAGAGGAGGAGCUCUGAUUUGUUGGUUCAUUCUCCAAAUGCCUGUGAUGGCAGAAGCAGGAUGGGGGUUGGUGAAACCAGGAGCUGGGAAUUCUAUCCAGGUCUCUCACAUGGGUGGCAGGAACCCAACUGCUUGAGCCACUACCACUGCCUUCCAGGGUCUCAGUUAGCAAGUAGCUGGAAUCUGGAGGUAGUGUUGGAGACUAAACCCACAUGCUCUGAUAUUGAUGUGGGCAUCUUAAUUAUUAGGCCAACUGCCUACCCCACAUACCAUUGAUGUCUUAAUACGGUAAAGCUCUAUAAAUCUAAGCAAGUUCUACCUUUACUUUUUCUAAAAGUAAAGUAAAAUAUAAAUAUUUAUUUACAUUUUCCAUCUUUCAUUUGGAACUAUUAUAAAGCAUUUCUUUAUGGUUAUUCAAUUCAAUUAUUAGGCCUAUCACAGAGUCCUAGACACUGGACUAAUAAUAAUACUAAUAACCCUAAUUAUGAUUAUAUUGUAAUUGUAUGUUUAAUUCUGAUGGCUCAGUUCUCUCUCAGGUACUCAGGUACUCUGAGGGGAAUGUUGAGCAGGUAUCCAUAGACACAUACAUGGUUUAAUGGGUCAUGGACAUGGACAUAUGUAUGAUUUAAUGGGAUAUGGACCUGGAUACAUACAGUACCCACACAGACCCAGAGUUCAGUCUGGAGCCUUAGCCCCAAAGUCAUUCUCUUUAUCCUAAGGGUAAAUUAUGAAGAAAAGAGAGUUGGAGAAGGUCGCCAUCUUUGAGUUGUUUCUCUAUCAAGUUGUGCUGUGUGUGGAUACACAUUCAUCCUAUUUUAGCUCUCCUGAAUCUCCUUAUCCUAGGCACUGGCUGGGCCACUGUUUCUUCUGCACGUCUAGCAAUACAAGUUAACAACAAUUCCCUUCCUGUAUUUAUUUACUCUAAAUCUUUGAGACCAAAUCCUAUGAACCUGUGGUCCUAUAAAUUGUCUUCAUGCUACAACACUAAUACACCACCCCCUUGUUUCUCAUCACCAUCGUGGAAUUCCUUGAUGACUUUCUGAUGUUUGAGGCCUGGGAAAUUUAUUCAUGCAAUGAUUCAGCAACUAGCAUUUAUUAGCUACUGUGAAGCAGGAAUUUUGCCAGACAAUGAAGAUAUUUAGUUGAGUAAGACACUGUUUCUGCACUCAAAAAGUCAACCAUCUGUGAUUUUUUGAAAAAAAAAAUUCUUUGAGAGGAAGAGAGAAAGGAGAGAGAGAGAGAGAGAGAGAGAGAGAGAGAGAGAGAGAGAGAUUGAGGCUUGUAAAUGCCUAGGGUUGACUAGGUCAAAGUUGGGAACUGGGAACUCAAUCUAGGCCUCUCAGGUGGGUGGCAGGGACUCAGUAACUUGAGCCACUGCUUGCUGCCUCCCAGGUCUACCUUGGCAGAAAGCUGGAAUUGGGUAUUGAACUGAAGCCAGAGCAGGACAUUGAACCCAGGUACUCCAAAAUGUAAUGUAAGUAAUGUGAUUUAUGUCUUAACACUAGACUGGAGCUUCCAACCCAUACUCAGACUUGUUCGUAAUUCAUAUUUUCCUGAGUUUGAGCCAUUUGGUUGAUGUGCCCCGAAUGUCUUAUUGGACAGAAUAUCCUAGAGGAGUGGCUGAUGCAAGCUGGAGUCAGGUUGGGUGUUUGGGUUCACAUUUACCUUCUUCUGAUCAUCAGAGGACAUCCUGGAUGUAGUUAGAAUCCCCAGCUAGAGGAAUGCCCCUGCUCACACCUCUUGACCUACAGGCACCAUACUGACUUCUGUGAGGACCUGUUCCUGUGAGGACCUGUAGCAGAUCUGAUGGAUGCUUGAGUAUCAGACAAGCUGUGACCUGUGGCACUGCUAUCACAGUUAGGGGUAGCCACAGCCAGAUAUCUGUCCUUAAAUUGUGUCAGGUUUGAACAUUUUCAGGAUUAAAGCAUCCACAUUUGCUUUGUAUGCUAUUUGUGUACUCAAGUCCCCUCUUAUUUGUAAUAUUGCUUUCUGUAGUCUCAAUUACCUCUGAUCAACACCAUUCCAAAAAUACUAAAUGGAAAAUUCCAGAAAUAGACCAUUCAUGUUUGAAAUGAAUUUCAUUUUAGUAUAUUGUUUAAACUGUUUUCUAUUAUUAUUGGUUUUCAUUACCAUCUUUAUUGUGUUCAAUUUGUGAAUUAAACUUUAUCACAAGUAUGUAUAUAAAGGAAAAAUCAUGGCAUAUUUAGGGUUUUGUACUAUCCAUGGUUUCAGGCAUCCUGUAGAGGUCUUGGGAUAUAUCCCCAUGGAUAAGGAGGGACUGCUUUGUACUAAAUUCAACACUAGCAAAUACCAGUUUGGAUAACAUACUAAUUUAAAUAAUUCUUUUCUUUAGUGUCUGUAACACUGUGUCAAUGACACAAAAGCUAUAAAUGUAGUAUGUAACAUACAUACUGUACACAUACACACAAGCAGAAAUGCUUCAAAAAUGUAAUGCAAAAUGAAAUUAAAAGAUAAGUCUAUCUGAUGUAAAAAACAUUUGGAAUUCAUGCAUAUGUUUUUCAUGAUAGGCAUUUUCCAUAAGCUUUUUUUUUUUAAAAAGAUUUAUGUAUUUAUCUGAAAGGCAGAGUGACAGAGGGAGACACACAUAACACACAGGCAUACAUAUACACAUGAGAGAGAGAGAGAGAGAGAGAGAGAGAGAGAGAGAGAGAGAAUCUCCAAUCUGUUGGUUCACUCCCUGGCCUAGGCCAGGUCAAAGCCAGGAGCCUUGAACUCCAUCCAGGUCUCCACAUGAGUGGCAGAAACCCAAGUUCUUGGACUGUCAUGUGCUAUCUCCCAGGCACAUUAGAAGGAUGGGAAGUACAGAGUAGCUGGAACUUGAACCAGGCGUUUUGAUAUGGGAUAUGGCUGUAGUGAGCCACAGAUUAACCUGCUGUGCUACAAUUCCCACUCCUCCAUGCACUUUUUGAAGUGCACCCCCCAUACACAUAUACGUGUAUUGAUACAACUUUUCUAUUUGUCAACCUAAUGGGAUUAUUACAGCACAUCAGCCCUAAGGGAAGGAAGGAGUAUGUGUGGGAGUUUUCAGGCUAUCGCGUCUAUAGCUGAGCACAGAUAGUUUCAUAGAACAAUUGGUGAUGAAGAAGAAAGGAGAGAAGUUGUAGAGGAAGAGAAGUCGGGAGAUGUGCAGGAAAGUCUGUUGAGUUUGCAAGUUCCGUGGUGUCCAUUGUGCAAGGGCUGACUUCCGGGGCUGCGUAGGUGAACAAAUGCCCAGCGAGCUGGUGCUGGGGGUUGGCCACAUAUGCGGAAGUGUAACAGCUAUGGAUGUGUGGUUUGGGCAAAGGUGUCUGAUUUGCCCUCUUUUCAAUUUUCAAUCAUCUCAUCCUUAGUCUAGGCAGAGCGACGACGAGUGGCUUUCAUUCAACUUGUGCCUCAAGAGCACUUCAGGGACUGGGGAGCCAUUUCUUACCGAUUUCCCUUUCGAGAGGCUGGAUCCCCACCCGAGCAGGCCUGGCUGGCCACCGUUAGCCUCAGGGCAGCGAGGAGGCCAGAUUUCAGAUCCUCUGGGCCUUCAUGCACAGGAAGCCUUCCUCUUUCAUGUCCAGUGGGCACAGACCCCUUCACGGGGAGAUCUCUGACUACUUCCUCCUCUGUCUGAAGCUUUCUUGGCACCACACGCUUCCUGGGGUGGCUGACAUCACCCUGUGUGGAGGAGGAUUGGCCUGGCUUCUGAAAACAUGUGUGCAAUUGAGUGCAUUCUAUUAAGAAAGAGGGGAAAAAAAUCAAACCCCAAACAAAUAAGCAGACACACACACCAUCCAUGGCCAUUGCUCAGCACUGAGAACUGGCAGCUCUGUGCCUGGCAGGAGGGCAGGAGGUGACUCUGAGAGGCAUUUCUGAGGUGAACGCUAUGGUUGGGGUGAGGGGACUGAUGUGGUCCCAAGGAGACGGAUAGCACUGCCCGUCCAACAAAUCCCAUGACUCUGAAAGAGAUGUCACCACAGAGCCUAACAACUGGGAAUCUCAGCCCCAAACAAAACCACAGCACCAAGAUGUGGAAAUGAGAGAAAAGCUAAGGGCUGAGUAAAAUAUUAAAGAUUGCUAUUGGUUUAAAAAAAAAAGAAAACACAGCUCUGUGACCACCACCUGAGCCACACAGGCUUGCGUAGGAGCUAAGGGACCCCUCCACCCCCUGCACACAUGCACACACACUCACACACACACACACACACACACACACACACCAGUCAGACCCAGUCCGCCCUCAGCAGUGUUACAGCAGUCUCUUUCUGCGCACAUUGCAGAGCCCAACAUUCUUCAGGCUGGAAAACUUUCCUCACGUCUAACCUGAGGCCCUCAUGCUGCAGCUGAAAUUCCUUCCUUCCUGGAAAAGGACCUGUCACCCUUUCCUCCUCCAGGAUCCUUCAGACUUGUGUUGACGUGAACAACAAAUCCUGUUUUCUCCUCGGUUAUUCAAGGAGAAUCUCCGUAUCUGUAACUUCUGGAGAACCUCUGUCAGAUGCUGGUGCUCAGGGGACCCGGCGCAGGCACCCCUGUUCUGGGUUGUCAAGGAAAAUCCUCUGGCCUGGAUUCUUGGUUUCCAAACAGAAUGCUGCACACUGUUUAAAGAGUAUUUUGUUUUCCUUUUCUGGAACCCAUUGUGUGUUGCGUCAGAGACAAUGAGCGGUUCACACAGCUGCAGUUAUCCAAGUAUUAAACUCCCCAUGCUGUCCGAGGGCACAGUCCCACUGCCUGCAUGGGGUGUGGGGGUCUGGGUGGACUGUGCAGGAGUGUGGCUGGGGGGCCAGGGUCCCGAUUCUGUCCUCCCUCCCCGCUGCGACUCACACACUGUGGAACUGAGUAACUGUUGGCAAGGUCUGGGCCACAGUAAGCCAGACUGGGCGGGGAGAGGAUUCCAUUAUUAUAACACAAUGCCAUAAUAGGAUAGGACAUUCCUUUCAUAUUCUUACACAACAGGAAUCUUUAAACUCCACUGUUACUCUGAAAGGGGAGGCAAAAUGCACCCAGCGCUUUGUUGUGUUUUUGCCACCAAAGUUACCUUAUUCAUCGUGGGGGUUGUGUGGGCCUCAGCCUCCUGAGCUUGGUUUUCGCAGCUUCUGGAAAGGGUUGGGCAACACCUGAGGACAAUCGCGGCGCUCACUCACCCCAGCCCUGCUGGGAGCUUCUGCUGGAGCCCUUUGCUGCGGCGUGGCUCCGAACCUGGCAGCCGGGGCUGCUCUUGGGAAGCUGGCCCUUUGGGGGCACUGUGCUGGUUCUUACCAGAUGGCCUUUGGGUGUGGAGUCAGUGCACAAGAGGCCUCCUCAGGGCACUGGGGUUCUCCAGUCGUGCAGAGCCGACGGGGACACACUGGUCUCUGAAUGAGACCACCGCCAACCCCACUGCCCUUCCCUGCAGAGUGGGCGUGAGGCUCAGCCAGCACUGGGGAAGGCCUAGCAGAGGCCUCUGCAUCCCUUGCCAAUGCUGUUGACAGGCCGACUCCCUGACCAGGCGUGGGUGCUGAGGCUCAGGAACCUGGAUGCUCUUUCUAUUUGGCCAUGACCUUAGGCUUUAAUUUCCUACCACAGAGUCUGGGUGGAGAAUCACUGGGCAGGGGCUCAGCUAGGAGGCUGACGUGGAGCGAAUACCAGCAGACAUGGGGCAUUUUCUUUAUAAAAGUGUAGCAAAUGAGUUUAACAGUCUUUGUGACCUGGUCCAUCCCAAAUCCCAAUCUCUGACGUUGAUGGUGAUAGAGAUCGGAAUAUAAUGAAGGAAACCCAACAAACUCUGCAGCGUUCCAAUAUUCCAUUGAUAGUAAUUUAAACUCUCAUCCUUAAUUUGUUCUUAUACUUGCUCCUGUAGCAUUUGUUUAUUUAGACUACUGGGCAAGAGCCCUUCCUAAAAAUCUUUGUAAAUUCUUAAGUGCAAACAAGUAGCAUUCUCCAUGCCACCCAGCACUCUGCAAGGUUGGGCUGUCUGGGCAGUGUUGCAGACAUUUUAAUAACCCCUUGUGGGCAAAUGAUGACACUUUUUCUUAUUUUCCAGUAGGCUUCUAUUUGUUCUUUGAAUGAGACUCCAUAUGUAAAUGGAUGAUUAUUCUCUGAAUUUCUUCUGUGCAAGUUGAGCACCAGAAUCUCCCAUAUUAUGUGUACAGAAUCUGGGCCUGAAUUUCAACCGUGAAUAUCAAUGAAGCAAAGCAAUAAAAAUCCAUAAAAAAUUAACAUUGCUAAAGAGGACUUCAAACCUCUCGGUGCUACAGCUCUGAGGUCAGUGGUAAGUGACCAUGGUUUAAUGAAGUGGGGCUCCCUCUGAUUAGGGAGAAGUGGGCAUGGCAUCUUCUGCGGCAUAAAUAGCCUGCCUCUGAGCAUGCCAAGCAGUUGCUUUCAGAGGCUGAAUUUUCUCCCAGCCUGGGUGAGUUGGCAGUGGACAGGAGAGGACAUUCCAGUGAAACCGGGCCAUCGGGAGCUGAAGACAAAGGCAGCUGAUUCAAGUGCGCAAAAUUGGAGUUUCUCUAAUCAAAUAUAUUAAAUUCACCAUUAUUCUUGAUUGUUUUAAUGGGAAGAAAGGGCAGCUGUGCCCUUCAUUUUCUAAGCAUUUUAUUUAGUGCUGAGGAGUUGGAGAA